UACGAAGGGGGCCAGCGUUGCUCGGAAUUACUGGGCGUAAAGGGAGCGUAGGCGGACAUUUAAGUCAGAGGUGAAAUCCCGGAGCUUAACUUCGGAACUGCCUUUGAUACUGGAUGUCUUGAGUGUGAGAGAGGUAUGUGGAACUCCGAGUGUAGAGGUGAAAUUCGUAGAUAUUCGGAAGAACACCAGUGGCGAAGGCGACAUACUGGCUCAUUACUGACGCUGAGGCUCGAAAGCGUGGGGAGCAAACAGG
This 253-nucleotide ribosomal RNA is filed under the name uncultured bacterium. RNAcentral describes it as "partial 16S ribosomal RNA". It matches the Rfam family "Bacterial small subunit ribosomal RNA", at positions 524 to 776 of the family's 1533-position model. The record is from RNAcentral.